AACAGUCAGCUUCUUACUUGGAGGGUAGAGAACGGUGCUUCCCCACGCUGCUGUGCAAUGGAGAGGAGCUAUGUGAAGCUGGCGUAUGGGUGGGGUUUGCAGGCUUCGCCCGGCUUCAUCGCCGGCUACUGACCCGGCACCAAUUCCUGUUCUGCAGGUCUCACCGCAGAGGGGCACGCCAGCCAUGAGGACAGAUGAGGGAACACGUGAUGCCACGAUGGGGGUGCCAGGAUGAGGUGGGUGCGGUCGCGGACAGGCGCACGAGGAGCCCAGCGGGGCGUCACCCGGAGCAGGCGCGGAGGAGGGCUGGGGAGGGCCACCAAGGCGACGAGAGCCGGUGUGCCUGAAUCAGCCUAAAGGAGACGGAGGAGGAGUGUGUUUACCUGGAAGGUCCUCUCCUGCGCUGGCUCUGGGGGUGCUUGGAACCAGAGCCCCUUAGUCGAAGCGUGUCCUGCUGCCAGCUACCACCAAGUCCUUAGGCCGAGCCCGUUUCUCUCCUGGUGAUGUGAAUCCUCGUUUGUUGUUGUUGUUGUUGUUUACUGAAGUCCCGGGUUGAUUAGACACAGCAAUGGAAGCUGGGGGUGGCCUGGGCCGUGCUUUGAAUUUGUGACUUUAGCAAGUCCCUAAAUUCCUCUCUGC
This 639-nucleotide long non-coding RNA is filed under the name Pan troglodytes (chimpanzee). RNAcentral's name for it is "long non-coding RNA NONPTRT010181". The record is from RNAcentral. Lineage: Eukaryota; Metazoa; Chordata; Mammalia; Primates; Hominidae.